UGAUGGCGACCGGCGCACGGGUGAGUAACACGUAUCCAACCUGCCCAUUACUCAGGGAUAGGCUUCUGAAAGGGAGAUUAAUACUUGAUAUGUCAUAAUUUCGCAUGUCAUUAUGAUGAAAGAUUUAUCGGUGAUGGAUGGGGAUGCGUUCCAUUAGCUUGUUGGUGGGGUAACGGCUCACCAAGGCUUCGAUGGAUAGGGGUUCUGAGAGGAAGGUCCCCCACAUUGGAACUGAGACACGGUCCAAACUCCUACGGGAGGCAGCAGUGAGGAAUAUUGGUCAAUGGACGUAAGUCUGAACCAGCCAAGUAGCGUGAAGGAUGACUGCCCUAUGGGUUGUAAACUUCUUUUGUUCGGGAAUAAUAUGCCUUACGUGUAGGGUAUUGCAUGCACCGUUCGAAUAAGCAUCGGCUAACUCCGUGCCAGCACCCGCGUUAAUACGGAGGAUGCGAGCGUUAUCCGGAUUUAUUGGGCUUAAAGGGAGCGUAGAUGGGCGAUUAAAUCAGUUGUGAAAGUUUCCGGCUCAACCGUA
This 532-nucleotide ribosomal RNA is filed under the name uncultured Bacteroides sp. Its description in RNAcentral is "bacterial SSU rRNA". It matches the Rfam family "Bacterial small subunit ribosomal RNA", at positions 86 to 617 of the family's 1533-position model. The record is from RNAcentral. Lineage: Bacteria; Pseudomonadati; Bacteroidota; Bacteroidia; Bacteroidales; Bacteroidaceae.